AGCGAACGCUGGCGGUAGGCCUAACACAUGCAAGUCGAACGGCAGCACAGUAAGAGUUUGCUCUUACGGGUGGCGAGUGGCGGACGGGUGAGGAAUACAGCGGAAUCUAUUUUUUCGUGGGGGACAACGUAGGGAAACUUACGCUAAUACCGCAUACGACUUACGGCUGAAAGUAGGGGAUCUUCGUACCUUGCGCGAACGAAUGAGUCGAUGCCGGAUUAGCUAGUUGGCGGGGUAAAGGCCCACCAAGGCAACGAACCGUAGCUGGUCUGAGAGGAUGAUCGGCCACACUGGAACUGGGACACGGCCCAAACUCCUACGGGAGGCGGAGGUGGGGAAUAUUGGACAAUGAGCGAAAGCCUGAUCCAGACAUACCGCGUAGGUGAGGAAGGCCUUCGGGUUGUAAAGCCCUUUUGUUGGGAAAGAAAAGCGGCAGGUUAAAACCCCGCUGUUCUGACGGUACCCAAAGAAUAAGCACCGGCUAACUACGUG
This 492-nucleotide ribosomal RNA is filed under the name uncultured bacterium. Its description in RNAcentral is "partial 16S ribosomal RNA". It matches the Rfam family "Bacterial small subunit ribosomal RNA", at positions 29 to 507 of the family's 1533-position model. The record is from RNAcentral.